CCGACUCGUCUCAGUCGGACGCCGCCUGUGUCGAGCGGCGGUGAUAAAUCUCGGCGGCACACGGCCCACAGAUCUCUCCGUCGGUAACCUGCAGCUCACCACCGAUGUCGACACGUAUCUCUGCUGAGCGCCCGCUGCCGAGAAUACAUGAAAGGAUGAACCGUGUUCACGUGGUUACGGGUGUUUGGCCGCCAACCGGCCGCGUUCACACGGAGGCUCGGGUGAGACGUUGGACUCUUGUGUUGCCUUCAGGGGCGUCAACUCAUCUUCACCGGGGGCCCGUCAGCAUCCUGGCCGCCCUCAGAGGGAUGGAACUGUAACGACUCCCAAACAUGUUGUUAAAUAACUGUCUGUAUGAGAUACUAUUGAUAUUUUGAUUGUCCGACGUUUGUGGGACUUGCGCAACACGUACAAAUAGUGGUUAUGUCUUCCGGCGGCGGUAAUGGAUUAUUUCCAUGGCGAUAAGUCACGCCCCCUCUCUUCUGGUGCGAGGGAAGUGAAUGAUCACGAAGAGUCCGGCGAGAGUUCCCUUCUCUUUUUUUGGUGUGAACGCAGCAUGAAGGAAGGCAAAAAAUGGCCUUCAAAAUAAAAGCACAGGGUUAUUUUUCAAGCCUUGUGUUUGACACAUGUGACUUAAAGUCUUAAAUACUGUUUCCAUGGCGAUAGGCCACGACCCCUCUAGAGCGCUUGUAGCACGAGUCAAGUGAAUGAUUACGAAUAGUCUGUCGAGAGUUCGCUUCUCUUUUUUGGUGUGAACGCAGCAUGAAGGAUGGCAAAAAAUGGCCUUCAAAAUAAAAGCACAAGGUUAUUUUUUGCUUACUUUUUUUUUUAAUAAAAAGCGAUCAUACGUC
This is a long non-coding RNA of Pseudoliparis swirei, 851 nucleotides long. RefSeq lists it as uncharacterized. The transcript is spliced from 2 exons. NCBI's taxonomy places the organism in Eukaryota, Metazoa, Chordata, Actinopteri, Perciformes, Liparidae. The record is from RefSeq and is a predicted model, not a curated record.